AACUGUUAAAAACCUAUUUGACAAAAGUCGAGAGAACCAGUAUUUAUUCGCAGCGCUGUGAAAGAAAUGUUUUUAUGUUCUUUAAAUUCGAUUUUACAACUGUGUGCUCUGAGAGGACAGCUUCAGGAUGUAGAGGCAAUUUGGCGUGUUACUUUUAUGCUAACGUUAACGGACAUUAGCUCCAAAGUAACGUAACGUGGUGACUGAAGCCUUCGCCUGACAGUCGUCAGAGAAUGCACUUUGGCCCGAAACAACAUGAUGUACACAUGAGACGCAUUCUGGCCCUUCGUGCCGUCCCAGUGGACCUGCGAGAGGAUGACCCGCAAUUGCAAAGAUGAAUCAGAUAUUGCUGACACGCCUGUGGCUCUCCUCAAUGUGGUCACUGACGACGCCCCUGCUGCUGUCCACUUCAACCCUGAGAGCGUUUCUGUUGUAGUCGAAAAGGAAAUUGUGAGUGAUUAUCCAAAGAACCUAAUUUACACAUUCACCUUAAUAAAAAAAAUAAUAAUGUUUUGAUGACA
This is a long non-coding RNA of Micropterus dolomieu (smallmouth bass), 521 nucleotides long. RefSeq lists it as uncharacterized. The record is from RefSeq and is a predicted model, not a curated record. The transcript is spliced from 3 exons. Lineage: Eukaryota; Metazoa; Chordata; Actinopteri; Centrarchiformes; Centrarchidae.